GGGGGUGUAGCUCAGUGGCAGAACGCUUGCCUCGCAUGCAUGAAGCACUGGGUUCGAUCCUCAGCACCACUU
RNAcentral lists this transfer RNA (72 nucleotides) under Ictidomys tridecemlineatus (thirteen-lined ground squirrel). RNAcentral describes it as "Spermophilus tridecemlineatus (thirteen-lined ground squirrel) tRNA". It matches the Rfam family "tRNA". From Rfam's summary of the family: Transfer RNA (tRNA) molecules are approximately 80 nucleotides in length. Their secondary structure includes four short double-helical elements and three loops (D, anti-codon, and T loops). Further hydrogen bonds mediate the characteristic L-shaped molecular structure. tRNAs have two regions of fundamental functional importance: the anti-codon, which is responsible for specific mRNA codon recognition, and the 3' end, to which the tRNAs corresponding amino acid is attached (by aminoacyl-tRNA synthetases). tRNAs cope with the degeneracy of the genetic code in two manners: having more than one tRNA (with a specific anti-codon) for a particular amino acid; and 'wobble' base-pairing, i.e. permitting non-standard base-pairing at the 3rd anti-codon position. Lineage: Eukaryota; Metazoa; Chordata; Mammalia; Rodentia; Sciuridae. The record is from Rfam by way of RNAcentral.